RNAcentral lists this ribosomal RNA (253 nucleotides) under uncultured bacterium. RNAcentral's name for it is "partial 16S ribosomal RNA". It matches the Rfam family "Bacterial small subunit ribosomal RNA", at positions 524 to 776 of the family's 1533-position model. The record is from RNAcentral.
UACGGAGGGUGCGAGCGUUAAUCGGAAUUACUGGGCGUAAAGCGUGCGCAGGCGGCUUUGCAAGGCAGAUGUGAAAUCCCCGGGCUUAACCUGGGAACUGCAUUUGUGACUGCAUGGCUGGAGUGCGGCAGAGGGGGAUGGAAUUCCGCGUGUAGCAGUGAAAUGCGUAGAUAUGCGGAGGAACACCGAUGGCGAAGGCAAUCCCCUGGGCCUGCACUGACGCUCAUGCACGAAAGCGUGGGGAGCAAACAGG